Molecule: ribosomal RNA, 394 nt
Filed under: uncultured bacterium
Lineage: Bacteria
Description: partial 16S ribosomal RNA
Rfam family: Bacterial small subunit ribosomal RNA
Source: RNAcentral
AUACGUAGGGGGCUAGCGUUAUCCGGAAUUACUGGGCGUAAAGGGUGCGUAGGUGGUUUCUUAAGUCAGAAGUGAAAGGCUACGGCUCAACCGUAGUAAGCUUUUGAAACUAAGAGACUUGAGGGCAGGAGAGGAGAGUAGCAUUCCUAGUGUAGCGGUGCAAUGCGUAGAUAUUAGGAGGAAUACCAGUUGCGAAGGCGGCUCUCUGGACUGUAACUGACACUGAGGCACGAAAGCGUGGGGAGCAAACAGGAUUAGAUACCCUGGUAGUCCACGCCGUAAACGAUGAGUACUAGCUGUCGGGGGUUACCCCCCUCGGUGGCGCAGCUAACGCAUUAAGUACUCCGCCUGGGAAGUACGCUCGCAAGAGUGAAACUCAAAUGAAUUGACGGGG